Molecule: ribosomal RNA, 484 nt
Filed under: uncultured bacterium
Lineage: Bacteria
Description: partial 16S ribosomal RNA
Rfam family: Bacterial small subunit ribosomal RNA
Source: RNAcentral
AUUGAACGCUGGCGGCAGGCCUAACACAUGCAAGUCGAGCGGAUGAAGGGAGCUUGCUCCUGGAUUCAGCGGCGGACGGGUGAGUAAUGCCUAGGAAUCUGCCUGGUAGUGGGGGAUAACGUCCGGAAACGGGCGCUAAUACCGCAUACGUCCUGAGGGAGCAAGUGGGGGAUCUUCGGACCUCACGCUAUCAGAUGAGCCUAGGUCGGAUUAGCUAGUUGGUGGGGUAAUGGCCUACCAAGGCGACGAUCCGUAACUGGUCUGAGAGGAUGAACAGUCACACGGGAUGUGAGGCAGGGCAGAGACUCCGACGGUAAGAAACAGUGGAGAAUAUUAGACGAUGCGGGAGUGCCUGAUACAGGCAUGUCGGGGGUGUGAAGAAGGAGUUAUGAUGGGUGAGCGAUGAAGGUUGGAGGGUUGGAAAGUAAGUUUACACCUUACGGUAAUGACGUUACCGGCAGAAUAAGCACCGGCUAACUUCGUG